CCUACGGGAGGCAGCAGUAGGGAAUCUUCCACAAUGGGCGAAAGCCUGAUGGAGCAACGCCGCGUGAGUGAAGAAGGAUUUCGGUUCGUAAAACUCUGUUGUAAGGGAAGAACAAGUACAGUAGUAACUGGCUGUACCUUGACGGUACCUUAUUAGAAAGCCACGGCUAACUACGUGCCAGCAGCCGCGGUAAUACGUAGGUGGCAAGCGUUGUCCGGAAUUAUUGGGCGUAAAGCGCGCGCAGGUGGUUUCUUAAGUCUGAUGUGAAAGCCCACGGCUCAACCGUGGAGGGUCAUUGGAAACUGGGAGACUUGAGUGCAGAAGAGGAUAGUGGAAUUCCAAGUGUAGCGGUGAAAUGCGUAGAGAUUUGGAGGAACACCAGUGGCGAAGGCGACUAUCUGGUCUGUAACUGACACUGAGGCGCGAAAGCGUGGGGAGCAAACAGGAUUAGAUACCCUGGUAGUCCACGCCGUAAACGAUGAGUGCUAAGUGUUAGGGGGUUUCCGCCCCUUAGUGCUGCAGCUAACGCAUUAAGCACUCCGCCUGGGGAGUACGGUCGCAAGACUGAAACUCAAAGGAAUUGACGG
This 587-nucleotide ribosomal RNA is filed under the name uncultured bacterium. RNAcentral's name for it is "bacterial SSU rRNA". It matches the Rfam family "Bacterial small subunit ribosomal RNA", at positions 338 to 916 of the family's 1533-position model. The record is from RNAcentral.